CAGCAGCCGCGGUAAUACGGAGGAUCCGAGCGUUAUCCGGAUNUAUUGGGUNUAAAGGGAGCGUAGAUGGAUGUUUAAGUCAGUNGUGAAAGUNUGCGGCUCAACCGUAAAAUNGCAGUUGAUACUGGAUAUCUUGAGUGCAGUUGAGGCAGGCGGAAUUCGUGGUGUAGCGGUGAAAUGCUUAGAUAUCACGAAGAACUCCGAUUGCGAAGGCAGCUCACUGGACUGCAACUGACACUGAUGCUCGAAAGUGUGGGUAUCAAACAGGAUUAGAUACCCUGGUAGUCCACACAGUAAACGAUGAAUACUCGCUGUUUGCGAUAUACAGUAAGCGGCCAAGCGAAAGCGUUAAGUAUUCCACCUGGGGAGU
RNAcentral lists this ribosomal RNA (370 nucleotides) under uncultured bacterium. RNAcentral's name for it is "bacterial SSU rRNA". It matches the Rfam family "Bacterial small subunit ribosomal RNA", at positions 509 to 881 of the family's 1533-position model. The record is from RNAcentral.